This 65-nucleotide transfer RNA is filed under the name Nebria ingens riversi. RNAcentral's name for it is "tRNA-Ile". The record is from RNAcentral. Lineage: Eukaryota; Metazoa; Arthropoda; Insecta; Coleoptera; Carabidae.
AAUGAAGUGCCUGAUAAAAGGAUUAUUUUGAUAGAAUAAAUUAUGUAAUAUAUUUACAUUCAUUA